Molecule: long non-coding RNA, 911 nt
Organism: Brassica oleracea var. oleracea
Lineage: Eukaryota; Viridiplantae; Streptophyta; Magnoliopsida; Brassicales; Brassicaceae
Exons: 4
Source: RefSeq, a predicted model, not a curated record
UAUCGUCCUCUUCAAUAUCAAGCAUGUUCUUCUCGGAAUCAAUAGCCCUUUCGGUUUCUAUGGAGGAGUAAUUUCUACAUCUCCCCAUCUUAACUCUAUCGACCAUUAAAGCAUCAAAAUCGUAACACUUCAUUUCUUCAUUCCUAUAUAUACCAUCGUGGUAAACACAGAAUCCCUUCAUCUCCAAUACAGUCUCCGCCGUCAUAGAUUAUACCAACUCCUCCAAAGUGUCUGUCUGUGGUGCUCCAGUUCCUGAAGCCGCUGUCCUCCUCCACUCAACGUUGGACUCGCUCAACACCAAACGGUGAAUUUAUGGAAAUCACUCAUCUCUUCUUAGAUGAAAAGGAUUCCAUGAUUCACAGGUUCAUUCCCGCUGGUUGUGCCAAUCACUACUGUUCUUCAUUGAUUGCUGGUUCAGAUUUGAUAAAAUUAACUGGAUUUUGAAGAUUUUGAGGAGGACGUGUGUUGUAUCUCAGUUUCAUCCGAGGAAGAUAUUCUUUUUGAGAAAGAAAUAUCAGUUGAGAUUGGACAUGGGAGUGUGCUAAUGAAGAAUCUACAUUCCUUUGCUCGGGAAGAGGUGAAUAAAACCAGCUCACUCUCUUCAGUUGAAAACAAGUCAUUCAUCAGUGAAUCAGUGAUGCAUACUCACAUUCCUUGAAGCGUGUUGAUAUUGGAGCAAUAAGAGAGAUUCAAAGUAUGUUGGAAAAGCAAUAAAGCAAGAGCAACUCAAGAGGACCAAGACUAAAACUGGAAGAGUGCUUGUCCUUGGGAGCUAUAAUUCAUCACUUUGUAGUAUAGACUUCAAGGUGUGUUUCAAACGACUCUGUUAAUGUGUUGAAUAUCUGCAUUUACAAGUCUCAUAUUUAAGAAUUUGUGACAAUGGCCGUGAAAAAUGAUACUUCAUUGUAGGA